RNAcentral lists this ribosomal RNA (860 nucleotides) under uncultured Desulfocaldus sp. RNAcentral's name for it is "bacterial SSU rRNA". It matches the Rfam family "Bacterial small subunit ribosomal RNA", at positions 38 to 879 of the family's 1533-position model. Lineage: Bacteria; Deltaproteobacteria. The record is from RNAcentral.
GGCGGCGUNCCUAACACAUGCAAGUCGGACGCGAACAGGGCUUCGGCCCUAAGUAGAGUGGCGCACGGGUGAGUAACGCGUAGGUAAUCUACCUCUGGAUUGGGGAUAACUCUGCGAAAGCGGAGCUAAUACCGAAUGGUCUGGCUUUAUUUUGAUGAAGUCGGUAAAGGAUGCCUCUGCAUAUGCAUCUGUCCAGAGAUGAGCCUGCGUCCCAUUAGCUAGUUGGUAGGGUAAAGGCCUACCAAGGCGACGAUGGGUAGCUGGUCUGAGAGGAUGAUCAGCCACACUGGAACUGGAACACGGUCCAGACUCCUACGGGAGGCAGCAGUGGGGAAUAUUGGGCAAUGGGCGCAAGCCUGACCCAGCAACGCCGUGUGAGGGAUGAAGGCCUUCGGGUCGUAAACCUCUGUCAGAAGGGAAGAACGGGCACAGUUCGAAUAGGGCUGUGUUUUGACGGUACCUUCAGAGGAAGCACCGGCUAACUCCGUGCCAGCAGCCGCGGUAAUACGGAGGGUGCGAGCGUUAUUCGGAAUCACUGGGCGUAAAGGGCGCGUAGGCGGCCUGGUAAGUCAGGGGUGAAAUCCCACGGCUCAACCGUGGAAUUGCCUUUGAAACUGCUGGGCUUGGAUCCUGGAGAGGGUGGCGGAAUUCCUGGUGUAGGAGUGAAAUCCGUAGAUAUCAGGAGGAACACCGGUGGCGAAGGCGGCCACCUGGACAGGUAUCGACGCUGAGGCGCGAAAGUGUGGGGGAGCAAACAGGAUUAGAUACCCUGGUAGUCCACACCGUAAACGAUGGAUACUAGGUGUUGGGGGCAUGACCCUCAGUGCCGGAGCUAACGCGUUAAGUAUCCCGCCUGGGGA